RNAcentral lists this ribosomal RNA (497 nucleotides) under uncultured bacterium. RNAcentral's name for it is "partial 16S ribosomal RNA". It matches the Rfam family "Bacterial small subunit ribosomal RNA", at positions 28 to 507 of the family's 1533-position model. The record is from RNAcentral.
GAUGAACGCUGGCGGCGUGCCUAAUACAUGCAAGUCGAGCGAACAGACGAGGAGCUUGCUCCUCUGACGUUAGCAGCGGACGGGUGAGUAACACGUGGAUAACCUACCUAUAAGACUGGGAUAACUUCGGGAAACCGGAGCUAAUACCGGAUAAUAUAUUGAACCGCAUGGUUCAAUAGUGAAAGACGGUUUUGCUGUCACUUAUAGAUGGAUCCGCGCCGCAUUAGCUAGUUGGUAAGGUAACGGCUUACCAAGGCGACGAUGCGUAGCCGACCUGAGAGGGUGAUCGGCCACACGGGAACUGAGACACGGUCCAGACUCCUACGGGAGGCAGCAGUAGGGAAUCUUCCGCAAUGGGCGAAAGCCUGACGGAGCAACGCCGCGUGAGUGAUGAAGGUCUUCGGAUCGUAAAACUCUGUUAUUAGGGAAGAACAAAUGUGUAAGUAACUAUGCACGUCUUGACGGUACCUAAUCAGAAAGCCACGGCUAACUACGUG